UAUGUGGUUUAAUUCGAUGCAACGCGAAGAACCUUACCUGGUCUUGACAUCCCGGAGACCCUUAGGAAACUAGGGGGUGCUUCCAUCUGGAAGAAUCUGGAGACAGGUGCUGCAUGGCUGCCGUCAGCUCGUGUCGUGAGAUGUUGGGUUAAGUCCCGCAACGAGCGCAACCCUUGCCUUUAGUUGCCAGCAGUUCGGCUGGGCACUCUAAAGGGACUGCCGGUGUUAAACCGGAGGAAGGUGGGGAUGACGUCAAGUCCUCAUGGCCUUUAUGACCAGGGCUACACACGUACUACAAUGGCCGAUACAAAGGGCAGCGACACUGCGAGGUGAAGCCAAUCCCGUAAAAUCGGUCUCAGUCCGGAUUGGAGUCUGCAACUCGACUCCAUGAAGUUGGAAUCGCUAGUAAUCGUGGAUCAGCAUGCCACGGUGAAUACGUUCCCGGGCCUU
Molecule: ribosomal RNA, 450 nt
Filed under: uncultured Desulfobulbus sp.
Lineage: Bacteria; Pseudomonadati; Thermodesulfobacteriota; Desulfobulbia; Desulfobulbales; Desulfobulbaceae
Description: bacterial SSU rRNA
Rfam family: Bacterial small subunit ribosomal RNA
Source: RNAcentral